Molecule: ribosomal RNA, 478 nt
Filed under: uncultured bacterium
Lineage: Bacteria
Description: bacterial SSU rRNA
Rfam family: Bacterial small subunit ribosomal RNA
Source: RNAcentral
AUUGAACGCUGGCGGAAUGCUUUACACAUGCAAGUUGAACGGGGGAUAAUUAGAAGCUUGCUUUUGAAUAUCCUUAGUAGCGAACGGGUGAGUAACGCGUAGACAACCAACCUCAUAGAAGGGGACAACACCGAGAAAUUGGUGCUAAUACCGUAUGUUGUGCCGGAGACGAAUGUUUCUGGUACUAAAGAUGGCUGAGCUUGAUGCUAUCGCUAUGAGACGGGUCUGCGUAUGAUUAGCUAGUUGGAGUGGUAACGGCACACCAAGGCGAUGAUCAUUAGCCGGUCUGAGAGGAUGAACGGCCACACUGGAACUGAGACACGGUCCAGACUCCUACGGGAGGCAGCAGUGGGGAAUUUUGGACAAUGGGCGAAAGCCUGAUCCAGCCAUUCCGCGUGCAGGAUGAAGGCCCUCGGGUUGUAAACUGCUUUUGUACAGAACGAAAAGCUCUUUCUAAUACAGAGAGUCCAUGACGGUA